UACGUAGGGCGUAAGCGUUGUCCGGAAUUAUUGGGCGUAAAGAGCUUGUAGGCGGUUUGUCGCGUCUGCCGUGAAAUUUCGAGGCUCAACCUCGAACUUGCGGUGGGUACGGGCAGACUAGAGUGUGGUAGGGGAGACUGGAAUUCCUGGUGUAGCGGUGAAAUGCGCAGAUAUCGGGAGGAACACCGGUGGCGAAGGCGGUUCUCUGGGCCUUACCUGACGCUGAGGAGCGAAAGCGUGGGGAGCGAACAGG
RNAcentral lists this ribosomal RNA (253 nucleotides) under uncultured bacterium. Its description in RNAcentral is "partial 16S ribosomal RNA". It matches the Rfam family "Bacterial small subunit ribosomal RNA", at positions 524 to 776 of the family's 1533-position model. The record is from RNAcentral.